AUGCAGUCGACGAUGNAACCGCUUUCGGGCGGGGAUUAGUGGCGAACGGGUGAGUAACACGUGGGCAAUCUGCCCUGCACUCUGGGACAAGCCCUGGAAACGGGGUCUAAUACCGGAUAUGACUGUCCAUCGCAUGGUGGAUGGUGUAAAGCUCCGGCGGUGCAGGAUGAGCCCGCGGCCUAUCAGCUUGUUGGUGAGGUAGUGGCUCACCAAGGCGACGACGGGUAGCCGGCCUGAGAGGGCGACCGGCCACACUGGGACUGAGACCCGGCCCAGAUUCCUACGGGAGGCAGCAGUGGGGAAUAUUGCACAAUGGGCGAAAGCCUGAUGCAGCGACGCCGCGUGAGGGAUGACGGCCUUCGGGUUGUAAACCUCUUUCAGCAGGGAAGAAGCGAAAGUGACGGUACCUGCAGAAGAAGCGCCGGCUAACUACGUGCCAGCAGCCGCGGUAAUACGUAGGGCGCAAGCGUUGUCCGGAAUUAUUGGGCGUAAAGAGCUCGUAGGCGGCUUGUCACGUCGGUUGUGAAAGCCCGGGGCUUAACCCCGGGUCUGCAGUCGAUACGGGCAGGCUAGAGUUCGGUAGGGGAGAUCGGAAUUCCUGGUGUAGCGGUGAAAUGCGCAGAUAUCAGGAGGAACACCGGUGGCGAAGGCGGAUCUCUGGGCCGAUACUGACGCUGAGGAGCGAAAGCGUGGGGAGCGAACAGGAUUAGAUACCCUGGUAGUCCACGCCGUAAACGGUGGGCACUAGGUGUGGGCAACAUUCCACGUUGUCCGUGCCGCAGCUAACGCAUUAAGUGCCCCGCCUGGGGAGUACGGCCGCAAGGCUAAAACUCAAAGGAAUUGACGGGGGCCCGCACAAGCGGCGGAGCAUGUGGCUUAAUUCGACGCAACGCGAAGAACCUUACCAAGGCUUGACAUACACCGGAAACGUCUGGAGACAGGCGCCCCCUUGUGGUCGGUGUACAGGUGGUGCAUGGCUGUCGUCAGCUCGUGUCGUGAGAUGUUGGGUUAAGUCCCGCAACGAGCGCAACCCUUGUCCCGUGUUGCCAGCAGGCCCUUGUGGUGCUGGGGACUCACGGGAGACCGCCGGGGUCAACUCGGAGGAAGGUGGGGACGACGUCAAGUCAUCAUGCCCCUUAUGUCUUGGGCUGCACACGUGCUACAAUGGCCGGUACAAUGAGCUGCGAUACCGCGAGGUGGAGCGAAUCUCAAAAAGCCGGUCUCAGUUCGGAUUGGGGUCUGCAACUCGACCCCAUGAAGUCGGAGUCGCUAGUAAUCGCAGAUCAGCAUUGCUGCGGUGAAUACGUUCCCGGGCCUUGUACACACCGCCCGUCACGUCACGAAAGUCGGUAACACCCGAAGNCC
This 1365-nucleotide ribosomal RNA is filed under the name Streptomyces sp. N1_01-2. RNAcentral's name for it is "bacterial SSU rRNA". It matches the Rfam family "Bacterial small subunit ribosomal RNA", at positions 55 to 1429 of the family's 1533-position model. The record is from RNAcentral. Lineage: Bacteria; Bacillati; Actinomycetota; Actinomycetes; Kitasatosporales; Streptomycetaceae.